This 279-nucleotide ribosomal RNA is filed under the name uncultured bacterium. Its description in RNAcentral is "partial 16S ribosomal RNA". It matches the Rfam family "Bacterial small subunit ribosomal RNA", at positions 337 to 616 of the family's 1533-position model. The record is from RNAcentral.
UCCUACGGGACGCAGCAGUGGGGAAUAUUGCACAAUGGGGGAAACCCUGAUGCAGCGACGCCGCGUGAGUGAAGAAGUAUCUCGGUACGUAAAGCUCUAUCAGCAGGGAAGAAAAAAAGUCCUUUGGACUUUGGACGGUACCUGACCAAGAAGCCCCGGCUAGCUACGUGCCAGCAGCCGCGGUAAUUCGUAGGAGGCAAGCGUUAUCCGGAUUUACUGGGUGUAAAGGGAGCGUAGACGGCAGCGCAAGUCUGGAGUGAAAUGCCGGGGCCCAACCCC